This 55-nucleotide transfer RNA is filed under the name Chandlerella quiscali. RNAcentral describes it as "tRNA-Val". Lineage: Eukaryota; Metazoa; Nematoda; Chromadorea; Rhabditida; Onchocercidae. The record is from RNAcentral.
AGUCUUAUAGUUUAUUUUAGAAUUUUUUAUUUACGAUAAAAGGGUUUUUAGACUU